Molecule: ribosomal RNA, 401 nt
Filed under: uncultured bacterium
Lineage: Bacteria
Description: bacterial SSU rRNA
Rfam family: Bacterial small subunit ribosomal RNA
Source: RNAcentral
AGUGAACGCUGGCGGCAGGCCUAACACAUGCAAGUCGAGCGGCAGCGCGUCCGACCACCCUCGGGUGGUCGGAUGGCGGCGAGCGGCGGACGGGUGAGGAAUGCAUCGGAAUCUGCCUCGUUGUGGGGGAUAACGUAGGGAAACUUACGCUAAUACCGCAUACGACCUACGGGUGAAAGUGGGGGACCUUCGGGCCUCACGCGAUGAGGUGAGCCGAUGCCGGAUUAGCUAGUUGGCGGGGUAAAGGCCCACCAAGGCGACGAUCCGUAGCUGGUCUGAGAGGAUGAUCAGCCACACUGGAACUGAGACACGGUCCAGACUCCUACGGGAGGCAGCAGUGGGGAAUAUUGGACAAUGGGGACAACCCUGAUCCAGCCAUGCCGCGUGUGUGAAGAAGGCCU